RNAcentral lists this long non-coding RNA (2326 nucleotides) under Lathyrus oleraceus (garden pea). RNAcentral's name for it is "Pisum sativum (pea) long non-coding RNA (PSAT_LNC003964)". The record is from RNAcentral. Lineage: Eukaryota; Viridiplantae; Streptophyta; Magnoliopsida; Fabales; Fabaceae.
AUCAUGAUUCAAAUUUCAUUUCAAGGAUAGCAUUCAAGAAUUCAAAUUAAAGAAUAUUCAAAUUAAAGAAUAUUCAAAUUGAAAAUGAAGGCAAAGUUGGAUUACUUGGAAAACAAGUUACAAGUUACAAAAUUCAAAAGCCUUCAUUCAAGUGUGCAAAUACAUUACAAAGGUAUCAAAAAUGGAAAUUACAAGGAAAAUUGAUAUUUGACCUACAGUUGACUUUUUGGUCAAUUGUUAACUUUUGGUCAGACAGUUGACCACAGUCCCACCUCUACCCUAUACCUAUUUCCAAGCAGUUCCAAAUAUCUUCAAGCCUUGUGUCAUGGUUGAUUCUUCAUGUUCUUCAAGUAUGUUAAGUUUCUUCAAGUCCAUGCCAUGACCAAGCUUCAUCCCACCAAGCUUUCACUUUGCCAUGCCUUGACUUAGAUCCUCCAAGCACCCAAGUUCCAUACACCAAGCCCUAUCUUAUCAAGCAAACAACAAACCUGCAACAAGAGAUCAAAAACAACGGUGCAUAACAAAAUUGAACUAGUAGGAAUGAUCUAACACUUAGAAAACAUUCAAAGACCAAUCAUGCUUUAGAAUUUGAAGUUGCAUAACAUCUAAAAGUACAAUUGAAUCCAUUUCUAAGUUUUAACAUAUACUUCAUUUUCCUACAUCAUGAUUCAACCACACUGGUAGUCACAACAAAUCAAGCUAAACACUUCAAGUCAGUUCAUUUCAGUACUUCAUUAACUUCUAAUAAUUAACUUUUUUUCCAACAACUUAUUUUAACUAACUUCGCCUUACCAUAAUAUUUCUAAUCCAAUCAGUAUAAUAACAAGCUUAUUAACUUCAAUCCAAUUUCAGCUAACAACCAAGCAAUCCAAAAUUUCUUACUAACUGCAUCCAACUAACAACCUCUCAUUCACCAUAUAACUAGCUACCAUUCAAACUUCAUUAGCUUCUCAACAAUUAACUAACUCAAGUUGAUCCAACAUUUUUCCUAACCUAAUUCAAUCUAACUUGUUAAUCAAACUACAACUAACAACUAACCAUAUGAUAAUUGCGAUUUAACAUAACUCUAUAACAAUAUAACUUAAAAAUGACAACAAAUUGAAGUUAAAGCCAAUUCUCCGUUACACUAACUUCUUUCCACCUAAAUGUUAAACUCAAACCAACUGACUUGUUCACAAUUAAACUAAUACUCACAUAAUAGAAUUUCUAACACUCGCUAAUUCUCAACUAAAAAACCUAACAGAACUAACCUGAACUUACCUUCGAACUCAAUCGAUUUAACAGACUUCCUGAUUUGGUUAACCUUCAACUAACUUGCAAAGAGAGAAAUUAACAUAGUUAAUCUUGCCCUAACCUAUAACUAAUCCUGACCGAGCUACCCAAAUUUUUUAUCACUCUCACUCUAUAAAUCAACAUCAUCCUCAAUCAUUCAAGGAGAAUUCAAUCAUUAGCACACAGAAUUUCACAAACUCUCUUUCACUCUUCAUCACUCUCUCUCAGACUCUCUCUCCAUCUUAAUCUUCCUCACUGUCACUACACACUAAUAUCACCAUAGUUGUUAGAGCUUCAACAUCUAAAGCUCUAAAUAGUUGAGCUAAAUCCUCACCUCUCACGCACACUCAAACAACAAGCCACAUAGCAUAAUUCGAACCCACAUACUACAUUUGAAGAUGAAGAAGAAGGUUGCAGUGGAUUAGGGAUCAAAGAGCUUACCGUAUUCGAAGCGCCUAUGGAUUUCUUAUCAUCUUCCUCUUCAAACUUUUCAACCUUGAACGAAGCAAUUCACCGCUUCGAAGGUAGGAUCUCAUCUCUCUUGAUUUCGUCUAUUUUUGUUAUUACCAGAUGAUAGAAUUGACAUAGAUAAGCCUUAGCCCUAAGUUCUGAGGUUGAAAUUAGUUAUAGUUCACGUUUAAUUUGGAUCUGAGAAGUUAGGGUUCAUACAUUUUCUUCUUCGAUUUGAACUUUGAGGGAGGAUUUAGGAAAAAGUAAUAUUAUAUUAAGAGAGCGAGAGCGAGAGAGAGAGAGAGAGAGAGAGAGAGAGAGAGAGGGGGUAGAGAGACGGUUCAAGUGAUGUAGGUUUGGUAGUGGUUGGACCUCCUUCGUCGCUAAGGCGAUUUAUGGCAUGACGGAGUUGAUAUUCAAUGGAGGUUUUUUUUAGUGACCUAAGUUUGGACUUGGAACAAAGAAGCAUAAAUGAACACACUGAUCUCCCUUCCCUUUAUCUUGGCUCAUGAUAUUGGGCUUGAUACCUUAGGCAUAUGGCCUUCACUGAAUGCACCAUCUUUUUUCACAUCAUACCACUAUGCUCUUUUGCCAAGCACAUUCU